GGGGCAUAUGGGGUCAUAAUGCCCCAUAAUGGGGGCUUAUAGGAUCAUAUGGGGUUAUAUGGGGGCAUAUGGGGGCAUAUGGGGGCAUAUGGGGGCAUAUGGGGUCAUAAUGCCCCAUAAUGGGGGCUUAUAGGGUCAUAUGGGGGCAUAUGGGGGCAUAUGGGGUUGUAUGGGGCCAUAUGGGGUUGUAUGGGGUUAUAUGGGGUUAUAUGGGGUCCUAUGGGGUCUUAUGGGGUCAUAUAGCCCCCCUGCAAUGCUCAGUGAAUUGAGGCAGCGGGUCUGCAUCGAGCGCAAACCACUGCGGUUCCUGUCCGAGCGGCUCAGCUCGUUAUUACACACUGCCCCCUGUUCAUUGUCCCCAUUAUGCCCCAUUACUUUAUUACCCCCAUUAAUUACCCCAUUAAUUAAUGACCCCAUUAAUUAA
RNAcentral lists this long non-coding RNA (424 nucleotides) under Coturnix japonica (Japanese quail). Its description in RNAcentral is "lncRNA (ENSCJPG00005002132.1)". Lineage: Eukaryota; Metazoa; Chordata; Aves; Galliformes; Phasianidae. The record is from RNAcentral.